RNAcentral lists this transfer RNA (73 nucleotides) under Candidatus Magnetominusculus dajiuhuensis. RNAcentral describes it as "tRNA-Thr". It matches the Rfam family "tRNA". From Rfam's summary of the family: Transfer RNA (tRNA) molecules are approximately 80 nucleotides in length. The record is from RNAcentral. Lineage: Bacteria; Pseudomonadati; Nitrospirota; Nitrospiria; Nitrospirales; Nitrospiraceae.
GCCGAGGUAGCACAGUUGGUAGUGCAGCUGAUUCGUAAUCAGCAGGUCGGCGGUUCAAAUCCGCUCCUCGGCU